CAGUAGCCGCGGUAAUACGUAGGUAGCAAGCGUUGUCCGGAAUUAUUGGGCGUAAAGGGCUCGCAGGCGGUUUCUUAAGUCUGAUGUGAAAGCCCCCGGCUCAACCGGGGAGGGUCAUUGGAAACUGGGAAACCUGAGUGCAGAAGAGGAGAGUGGAAUUCCACGUGUAGCGGUGAAAUGCGUAGAGAUGUGGAGGAACACCAGUGGCGAAGGCGACUCUCUGGUCUGUAACUGACGCUGAGGAGCGAAAGCGUGGGGAGCGAACAGGAUUAGAGACCCCUGUAGUCCCUGUCUCUUAUAC
This 301-nucleotide ribosomal RNA is filed under the name uncultured bacterium. Its description in RNAcentral is "partial 16S ribosomal RNA". It matches the Rfam family "Bacterial small subunit ribosomal RNA", at positions 509 to 807 of the family's 1533-position model. The record is from RNAcentral.